RNAcentral lists this ribosomal RNA (301 nucleotides) under uncultured bacterium. Its description in RNAcentral is "partial 16S ribosomal RNA". It matches the Rfam family "Bacterial small subunit ribosomal RNA", at positions 509 to 807 of the family's 1533-position model. The record is from RNAcentral.
CAGCAUCCGCGGUAACACGGAGGGUGCGAGCGUUAAUCGGAAUUACUGGGCGUAAAGCGCACGUAGGCGGCUUUGUAAGUCAGAGGUGAAAGCCUGGAGCUCAACUCCAGAACUGCCUUUGAGACUGCAUCACUUGAAUCCAGGAGAGGUGAGUGGAAUUCCGAGUGUAGAGGUGAAAUUCGUAGAUAUUCGGAAGAACACCAGUGGCGAAGGCGGCUUACUGGCUCAUUCUAGACGCUGAGGUGCGAAAGCGUGGGGAGCAAACAGGAUUAGAUACCCCUGUAGUCCCUGUCUCUUAUAC